UACGGGGGUGGCGAGCGUUACUCGGAUUUAUUGGGUGUAAAGGGCAGGUAGGCGUCCCUGCAAGUUAGAAGUGAAAUCCUAAGGCUCAACCUUAGAACUGCUUCUAAAACUGCAGGGAUUGAGGCUGGGAGAGGAGAGCGGAAUUCCCGGUGUAAGGGUGAAAUCUGUAGAUAUCGGGAGGAACACCAGUGGCGAAAGCGGCUCUCUAGCCCGGAUCUGACGCUAAGCUGCGAAAGCUAGGGGAG
RNAcentral lists this ribosomal RNA (245 nucleotides) under uncultured bacterium. RNAcentral describes it as "partial 16S ribosomal RNA". It matches the Rfam family "Bacterial small subunit ribosomal RNA", at positions 524 to 768 of the family's 1533-position model. The record is from RNAcentral.